UCCGGGGUCGUCUAGUGGUAGGACGCUAGGUUCUGGCCCUAGUAACCGGGGUUCGAAUCCCUGCCCCGGAG
Molecule: transfer RNA, 71 nt
Filed under: bacterium
Lineage: Bacteria
Description: tRNA-Gln
Rfam family: tRNA
About the family: Transfer RNA (tRNA) molecules are approximately 80 nucleotides in length. Their secondary structure includes four short double-helical elements and three loops (D, anti-codon, and T loops). Further hydrogen bonds mediate the characteristic L-shaped molecular structure. tRNAs have two regions of fundamental functional importance: the anti-codon, which is responsible for specific mRNA codon recognition, and the 3' end, to which the tRNAs corresponding amino acid is attached (by aminoacyl-tRNA synthetases). tRNAs cope with the degeneracy of the genetic code in two manners: having more than one tRNA (with a specific anti-codon) for a particular amino acid; and 'wobble' base-pairing, i.e. permitting non-standard base-pairing at the 3rd anti-codon position.
Source: RNAcentral